ACGUCGAGUGGUGAACGGGUGAGUAACACGUGGGUGAUCUGCCCUGCACUUCGGGAUAAGCUUGGGAAACUGGGUCUAAUACCGGAUAGGAGCCAUCUUUAGUGUGGUGGUUGGAAAGUUUUUCGGUGUAGGAUGAGCUCGCGGCCUAUCAGCUUGUUGGUGGGGUAAUGGCCUACCAAGGCGGCGACGGGUAGCCGGCCUGAGAGGGUGUACGGCCACAUUGGGACUGAGAUACGGCCCAG
RNAcentral lists this ribosomal RNA (242 nucleotides) under uncultured Actinomycetales bacterium. RNAcentral describes it as "partial 16S ribosomal RNA". It matches the Rfam family "Bacterial small subunit ribosomal RNA", at positions 88 to 334 of the family's 1533-position model. Lineage: Bacteria; Bacillati; Actinomycetota; Actinomycetes; Actinomycetales. The record is from RNAcentral.